RNAcentral lists this ribosomal RNA (465 nucleotides) under uncultured bacterium. Its description in RNAcentral is "partial 16S ribosomal RNA". It matches the Rfam family "Bacterial small subunit ribosomal RNA", at positions 28 to 507 of the family's 1533-position model. The record is from RNAcentral.
GACGAACGCUGGCGGCGUGCUUAACACAUGCAAGUCGAACGGAAAGGCCCUGCUUGCAGGGUCCUCGAGUGGCGAACGGGUGAGUAACACGUGGGUGAUCUGCCCUGCACUUCGGGAUAAGCCUGGGAAACUGGGUCUAAUACCGGAUAGGAGCCAUUUUUAGUGUGAUGGUUGGAAAGUUUUUUCGGUGUAGGAUGAGCUCGCGGCCUAUCAGCUUGUUGGUGGGGUAAUGGCCUACCAAGGCGGCGACGGGUAGCCGGCCUGAGAGGGUGGACGGCCACAUUGGGACUGAGAUACGGCCCAGACUCCUACGGGAGGCAGCAGUGGGGAAGAUUGCACAAUGGGCGCAAGCCUGAUGCAGCGACGCCGCGUGGGGGAUGACGGCCUUCGGGUUGUAGACUCCUUUCGCUAGGGACGAAGCUUUUUGUGACGGUACCUAGAUAAGAAGCACCGGCUAACUACGUG